UACGAAGGGGGCUAUCGUUGUCCGGAAUUACUGGGCGUAAAGAGCGCGUAGGCGGACUAUCAAGUCAGAGGUGAAAUCCCAGGGCUCAACCCUGGAACUGCCUUUGAAACUGAUAGUCUAGAGUCUCGGAGGGGAUAGUGGAAUUUCCAGUGUAGGGGUGAAAUCCGUAGAUACUGGAAGGAACACCGGUGGCGAAGGCGACUAUCUGGACGAGAACUGACGCUAAGGUGCGAAAGCGUGGGGAGCAAACAGG
This 253-nucleotide ribosomal RNA is filed under the name uncultured bacterium. Its description in RNAcentral is "partial 16S ribosomal RNA". It matches the Rfam family "Bacterial small subunit ribosomal RNA", at positions 524 to 776 of the family's 1533-position model. The record is from RNAcentral.